Molecule: ribosomal RNA, 277 nt
Filed under: uncultured bacterium
Lineage: Bacteria
Description: partial 16S ribosomal RNA
Rfam family: Bacterial small subunit ribosomal RNA
Source: RNAcentral
GACAAACGCUGGCGGCGUGCCUAACACAUGCAAGUCGAACGCCCUUCGCCUCUUCGGAGGGGGAGGGAGUGGCGGACGGGUGAGUAACACAUGGGUGACCUACCCCCAGGUGAGGAAUACCGGCGAGAAAUCGCCGACAAUACCGCAUAGCUUUCCUUCGAGAGAGGGAAAGAAAGCUUCGCAAGAGGCGCCUGAGGAUGGGCUCGUGGUCGAUUAGCUCGUUGGUGGGGUAAUGGCCUACCAAGGCGACGAUCGAUAGCUGGUCUGAGAGGACGAU